RNAcentral lists this ribosomal RNA (486 nucleotides) under uncultured bacterium. RNAcentral describes it as "partial 16S ribosomal RNA". It matches the Rfam family "Bacterial small subunit ribosomal RNA", at positions 30 to 507 of the family's 1533-position model. The record is from RNAcentral.
AUUGAACGCUGGCGGCAUGCCUUACACAUGCUAGUCGAACGGCAGCACGGGUGCUUGCACCUGGUGGCGAGUGGCGAACGGGUGAGUAAUACAUCGGAACAUGUCCUGUAGUGGGGGAUAGCCCGGCGAAAGCCGGAUUAAUACCGCAUACGAUCUACGGAUGAAAGCGGGGGACCUUCGGGCCUCGCGCUAUAGGGUUGGCCGAUGGCUGAUUAGCUAGUUGGUGGGGUAAAGGCCUACCAAGGCGACGAUCAGUAGCUGGUCUGAGAGGACGACCAGCCACACUGGGACUGAGACACGGCCCAGACUCCUACGGGAGGCAGCAGUGGGGAAUUUUGGACAAUGGGCGAAAGCCUGAUCCAGCAAUGCCGCGUGUGUGAAGAAGGCCUUCGGGUUGUAAAGCACUUUUGUCCGGAAAGAAAUCCUGGGCCCUAAUACGGUCGGGGGAUGACGGUACCGGAAGAAUAAGCACCGGCUAACUACGUG